AUGGAGGUAAACAUUUAUCGGAAUCCUCGCUGCAAGGGAUGCAGAUGGCUAGUGUUCGAGACCUUCAUCUGCGGCGCAGGAGGAAAGGCAGUUACUGGGUUGAAUAACAAGUACCCGAAACGUCUUUGGCGUAUAGACAACGGCAUCCACACGUGUACUCGUCUGUCCACGAAGACCUGCGCAUUUACGUGCGUAGAAGUGAGGAGAUUCAAUACGUGGAUUCAGAGGAGUAUGUUUGGCUGGAGCAUAGCCGAGGUUCCUGGGGUCUAUGGACUGGGGCUGCUCAGAGACGAGGGGCCAUCGACACCGCAGGCAGAGAAUCUGGCUCUGGUGACCCCUUCCUUCUUCCUUCCCUUCCCUACAUGUUCCCCAAGAGCCUCCCGUGUGUGCAGCCCAGUCCUGGAAGCUGGGGAGACGCCAGGGGUCAACAAGUCUUUGUGCUGAUCCUGAAGGCACAGUGGGGAGGAAGAGCAUUAGAAAGUAAAGAAAUAAUGAUAAAACAGGGUACGUUGUCUGCUCAGGGUGUCCAAAUUGUUUAGUGGGUCUGGAAUGCAAAUUUGACAGGGAAGCUGGGAAAGUGGCCAGAGCUGGAGAAGCACAGCAGGGAAAGAUCCUUCUGGGCCUUAUAUCACACUCUCAGGUGUUGGAAUGUUCCUGAGGGCAGGAACGAGUCCCCAGGGGCUCAAAACAGGGAGGCCCUCAGCCUGCCGCUCACACUUACAGGGCCCCCAACCCACUCCCCACCUUUCUUCACCCCAGUGUCUGUCCCACUUGGCAGACGUAUGCUCUCCUCAGCCCGUGUACUAGUCCACGCAAACCCUACUCCCAGGCAACAAGCCGCUCCUUGGCCAUACCUCAGGCCUGGUGGUGUGUGCAGAGCUCAUGGCUCUGUCUGCAGGAGAAUGGAUGUGAGGAGGG
RNAcentral lists this long non-coding RNA (918 nucleotides) under Felis catus (domestic cat). Its description in RNAcentral is "lncRNA (ENSFCAG00000048318.1)". The record is from RNAcentral. Lineage: Eukaryota; Metazoa; Chordata; Mammalia; Carnivora; Felidae.